This 301-nucleotide ribosomal RNA is filed under the name uncultured bacterium. Its description in RNAcentral is "partial 16S ribosomal RNA". It matches the Rfam family "Bacterial small subunit ribosomal RNA", at positions 509 to 807 of the family's 1533-position model. The record is from RNAcentral.
CAGCCGCCGCGGUAAUACGGAGGGGGCUAGCGUUGUUCGGAAUUACUGGGCGUAAAGCGCACGUAGGCGGCUUUGUAAGUUAGAGGUGAAAGCCCGGAGCUCAACUCCGGAAUUGCCUUUAAGACUGCAGAGCCAGCAGGUGAGAGAGGUGAGUGGAAUUCCGAGUGUAGAGGUGAAAUUCGUAGAUAUUCGGAAGAACACCAGUGGCGAAGGCGGCUCACUGGCUCAUACUGGACGCUGAGGUGCGAAAGCGUGGGGAGCAAACAGGAUUAGAUACCCCCGUAGUCCCUGUCUCUUAUAC